Molecule: long non-coding RNA, 6465 nt
Organism: Pseudopipra pipra
Lineage: Eukaryota; Metazoa; Chordata; Aves; Passeriformes; Pipridae
Exons: 3
Source: RefSeq, a predicted model, not a curated record
GAGCUCAUUACCAUACUCUAGUUUGGAGUGUUUAAAUUGUCAUCACGUAAUUGCAUAAUAAGGAAAACACACGUUUUAUCAAAUUAUAGUAAAUGCAGGAAUUUCAGAAUUCCCUAAAAACUGUCUUAUCCAUAAGUCCAUUUGAAGCUCAAUACAGGAAAAAACAAACAAACAAAACAACCACCCCCCCUUCAAAAACCCAAGUGACCUAAUGCAUAUCACACUUAACACUUCAAAGAUAAGCUAUUCAGGUUUCUUUUUCUCCACUUCAUACACCAGGCACGAUGUCUCAAUUUAUAAUAAGUUUUGUCAACUAUUUAUAGUCAGCUAGGAAUUAUUCAAAGUGUGCUCAUUAAAUGUUUACCCAUCAUCUCUGUUAAAUAUGCUUCCUUUUGCCCAUAUUAAUAGAAGUAUUUGACUUCCUCUCACCAUCUUGUGAAAUGCAAGGUAAUUUGCAAUGAGAGCAAAAAUACUGAAAUCACGACAGGAACUCAGAUAACAUUAGAUUUCUUUUAAAAAUGCAAUUAGUAUUUUUCCAUGAUAUUGAUAAGUUUUUAUUAAUCAUAGAAUCAUAAAAUUGUUAAGGUUGGAAGAGACAUUGAAAAUCAUCAAGCGCAACCAUUACCCCAGCACUGCCAAAUCCACCACUAAACAAUGGCCCUAAGCACCACAGCUACAUCUUUUAAACACCUGCAGGAAUGGUGACUCAGCCAUUCCUACCUUCCCUAGGAAGCCUGUUCCAAUGCUUGGCAACCCUUUUGGGGAACUAAUUUUUACUAAUAUCCCAUCUAAAUCUCCCCUGACACAAAUUAAGGCCUCUUAUUUCCUCUCAUCAUGUAACUUCUUACCUGGAAGAAGAGACCUACACCCAUCCCACCAUAACCUUCUUGCAAGUAGUUGUAGAGAGCCAUAAGGUCUCCCUGGGAAGCCUCCUAUUCUCCAGGCUAAACAACCCCAGCUUCCUCAGCCACUCCUAAUAAGACUUGGGCUCCAGACCAGCCACUGUUCCUAAGACUUGGGCUCCAGACCCUUCACCAGCUCCACUGCCCUUCUUUAGACAUACUCCAGCAGCUCAAUGUCUUGCUUGUGGUGAGGGACCCAAAACUGAUCACAGUUCCUUACUUCCCCAAGAUUAGAAAACUAUAUUUUCAUGAUUGCUAUGCCCGAGAUGGCCUUCAGCCAUCACAUCACCUACCAGUUCUUCUCUAUUCAUAAGCAGCAGGUCCAAUGGGGCACCUCCUCUGGUUGACUUAUUCACCAGCUGUGUCUGGAAGCUACCUUCUUUAUGGAAGCAAUUUUGAUGCAGGGUGUAGGACCCUGAGAUUAGCUCGGUUGGUUAGAGCAUAGUGUUAAUAACACCAAGAUUAUGCACUUGAUCCCUGUAGGGGCUAUUCACUUAAGAUUUAGACUCAAGGAUCCUUGUGGGUUCCUUCCAACUCAGAAUAUUCUGUGAUUCUGUGAACUUAACCUCAGCAAAACUACCUAACUAGAUCAGUUUUCAUCCUUGUUGUUCUUCAGUUCCACUUGCAAAACCUUGCACCUGUUAUGUCAUGGCACCUGGGAAGGUGAGGCAAUCAUAGAGGUGGCACAUCUGCUGUGCCAGGCAGGAAUUUAUCACCAUUGCCCUCUAUCACUUAAGUCAACACAUUCAGCCAGGUGGAGAGAAGACAGAGAAUCCUCCCUAUCUUGCAUCCUGUCUGCCUGUCUGGCCUGUCCCAGGGAAGGUACAGUGUGAUUCCGGUAGUUCUACCUUUCAGAUCCCCUGAUGCUCCUCAACUUACGCCCUCUUAGAGCUCUGUCACUAAGCAGAGGAGUGCCCCUCUACCUGGGCACACCUUCCACAGGUGUGCUCACUGCUCCCAUCCAGUACUGCUAUAACAGCAGGGCAUAGCCUGCAGCUUAUACCUGGGUGCAGUGUCUUCCCACCAGAGCUCUGUCUGGGUAGCUGCAUAAAGUCAUGGUGUGUGCAGAGCUUAGGGAGGCCAUGGUUUUCUUCUGGGUGGAUGCCAUUGCUCCACGGUUGAGCUGGCAGGGCUUCAGCACCUUUUCUGCAUGCCCUUCUGCACAAAUUGCCAUAUCAUGCCCUGGCUGAUGUGCCGUGCCUGUUUGCCCAUUCUGUUGGUGGCAAUCCUAGUCACUGGUGCUCCUUAAGUGCUUCUUUUAUAAAUGGAGGGCUUGGCAGCCAUUGCUGCUGGCUCUGCCCAGAUCCUGUCAGCUGCUGUUGCACGAGCUGGGGGCUACCAGUGGCUCUUUUCUCACUCUUAGGUUCCUCUAGUUCAGGGACCCCCUAUCCACCACUCCAGAGUGUUCCUCUGCAGAUUGUGCUGGAACUGGAACUGUUUGCCUUGGCGACUGAGUAACUAAUGUUACAGAGGAAGACUAAUUGUGCUUUUAUACUUAGGGUAGCAGAUGGUACUCAAAUGUAGGAAAUCUGGCAGGUAUGUGAAGUAACAUUUAGACAUUCUUCAGGUGUUUUUUUGUUUGUUUGUUUGUUUUUCAUCAAACAGAAAUCUGCUAAUAUAGAGUGUAGUAGUUUGAUUUUUAGGCCUUCCUUGGUAACUGAGGUCAAAACCAAGGAAGUAUUCCAUUCUAUUCCUUUAUGUGAACAGAGGUAUAAAUAAGAUGGAGAGAGAGAUCUCUUCCCCUCUUCUCUCCAGUGAACUUGGGAGACAGCAGGUCCCUGCAAUUGGUCUCGCUUAUCUGGAAGCUGAGGCCUGCUCAGCUUGUUGCUUGCCACACAGGAGGUGGAGGGUGCUGGCCGUGUCUGGCGAUCCUGCUUUUCUUAAAGGAAGUGGUGAGGAUGAAAUUCUGGUUGAAUUCUCCACUCCGUCUGGUUUAGCAGAAACUUGUGUCUUGAGUUAGCAGACUUUGCAAAGCCAGAAAACAAAAUAAUCAAAACAUCGGCUUGACAUUGUGUGGACCAACACUUCACAACUAAGAUGUAAAUGGAAAGGAUUUUUCCCUUCUCUGGAGAAUUCUAUUUAUUAAGAGAAAGAAAGUGUUACAAAAAAUAAAGAAUUCUGAAGCAAAGAAGUGGCUGUGGAAAGAAGAAGGGGGUUCAGAAAGGAUAAAGGAAAGAUUCUAGCUGGAGGAAAGUUCUUUAAACUGGGAGAAGAUCCUGGAGAUGGGAGAGAAGUAUGAGGAUAAAUGCCUGACCUUGGCUGGUGAUGCCCCAAACUACCAGGAGCUGCAUAGCAGGAACCAACACAGCCUGAUCCUCCCAGAGCAGCAAAGAUGUUCCUGCAGGGAAGGGAAGUCAGCAUCUAGUGAACUACUUAUCUCUAUGUUUUUUUUCAACCUAAAUGAUUCUGUGAACUUAAUGUUGUGGGAAAGGGAGGGAGAUAACCAAGCAGAAAAAAAAGCUCUAACCUCUUUUGUUUGUUUUCUAUAAAGAACUUGCUUGACUGAAUAAAGAUUUGUUAGCUCAGGGACUCAUCUCAUCCCUUCUGCUAUCCAUAUUGGUCUCCAAAUCAUAAUCUUUUUAUUUUGUGUUCUCUCUGUUCUCAUAAAUACUUUUGCAAAUACACACAAGUAUACAAUGUUAAACCAAAAGGGUCUAAGACCUGUAUUAGUGUACCCAUAGUCUUCAUAAUGCUUUCUCUGAAUGUGUUAGAAGAAUUUUGUCCAUCCUCUUCAAAUCAGACUGACAACAGUUGUUGGUUUUGAGAAGGAUUGGUAAAAGACUAAAUAUUUGUUCUUUUUCUGACUUCAUACCAAGUAGCUGAGAAGUUAUUCACUUCUCAUUGCUGUUUAAGGAGAAGACUGAAACUCCUGAGCAGGAACAGGUUGCCACUCCUGAUUUUAAUUUACCCAUUCCCAUCUCUUUCCCAGAAUACCACAACUGGGAUGACAGUAACUCACAUGUACUAAAUGCACUAGUCUCAAAACUGGCUAGCCUACUGUGAUUUUGAACUGAACAAUUGAAAUGCCUCAUGUCUGACUUGCUGCUUGCCAUUUAGGGACUAGAAAUUAUUUUUGUUCCUUUCACCACAGUGAGUGACACAGGAAAGUUACUUGCCUCAAGAGAAAUUAUUACCCUAAUUGUAGCAAUCUAGUUAAAUAAAUACUAUCAGGAACUUUCUCCCUUAUCCGCCAUCACUUGUCUUCAUAGAAAAAUCCAUGAAGCAUAAUCUGAGCAUAAAGUGUCUGGAGAAUUUCUUUUUAUUAUUUCUUUACUGUUGCUGAGGACUGUCUUGCAAUCAGUCAAAUGUUUAUAUGAGGAUAGAACAAGUAAUACGCACACCAAACACAGAACUUCACUGCGCAUCUGACAUAAUAAGAGGGUAGAAGCAGAAUUAAUCUCCUCAUCUUAAUUGUGAUGGUCAUAUAAAAUUACACAAAAUAUUUCUCGCCUGUACCCUCCUUCCCCCCCACUCCCCAAAUAUUUUCUAGGGUUAAAACAAGUUGCUGCUAUCACUAUUAUUAUUAUUGAGGCUGUAUUAUGACCCGUAGACAAAAGACAGUAGUAGUAGUAAUCCAGCUAUCUCAUAACUCCAGCAGUGUAAUUCCAGAAUGUUUUGAAAGUAUGGUCUUUUCUUGACACUUCUCAGAGGAUUGCUGAGGAGAAAUGCUCAUUUACUAAUAUGACUGAAAAGCACUGUCACUCCAAAUCACCACAGCCAUUUAAUGAAAAUGGGCUUUUCAGCAAUAUAAUAGAUGCUGCCAAAGCAGGGAUCAGAAAGAGAAGAAAGGGAAUGAACUAAGUAACAUGAGCUGUUAAAAACGUCAACUGUGUUUUGCUAAGAUGUCUGACACAAGAUGGUAUCUGCCCUGCUGAAUAAUUUCCUUCACCAGCUUCAGCUACCUGAAAAUGUCUUCACUUUUUUUCACAGGCCGCAUACUGGCUGAUAAGGUGAAAGGUUUCAUUCCUAUCAUGUUAAAAUGAGUCAUUUAUACAGAAGCAUUUUUAAAGGUGCUGCUACUGCAAUCGUUCAGAUGAUGCCCAAGGAACAGUAUUUAACUUUUUUUAAAAUUUUUCCUGUUGAAACUAGUGCUUGGUCUUCCAAGUUCACUAAUUACUAUGAUGUUUACCUUUACAUUUAUAUAAUAAAUAACUGGCUCCGAUUCUAAGCUUCUUUUCUUCUAUAGUCUUUUACUAUAAGGUCCAGUAUUUCAAAAUUGGUUUUCAUCUUGAUUGAGAAUGAAAAUCUGAAAUAUACAUUUAUUUGAUGAUGCAGAAGGUAAUGAAAACAAACCAAACCUUACAGAUUUAUCGUGUGGUACUGUUAAUAUUCUUUUCAUUUUUGAGGCAACACUCAGUUGUUCCCUUAUAGAUAUCAAAUACUAAAUAAGUGGUACCUUGCAUGUCUCCAGGUGCUGACAGAGCAUAUAAGUUCCCCACAGAUCCUAAUUUGUAACUGCCAACCCACAUUUUGCUUAUCCUAGGGUAUUGUAGAUGGUCUUGGGUGCCUGUGAGAAUGAAAUAGAUCAAGUUGCUAUACGUAGAUGAGUUAAAUUCUGACAUACUAACAUAUGAAGGAUAAGCAUGUUUCGUCAUGCAUUCUGUUCAAUUGCAUGCUAAUUUCAUGUUCUACCAUAGAAUUGAUUUGAGACAGACCACUGUCAACUCUUGAGAUAAGACCAGGAUGUUAUGAUUCAGGUACCACUGAAAACAUACUAAAAGGAAAGAAAUGUCUUUGAAAGUUUGAAUAUACUAUGUAUUGAAAGACUGACCAAUACACCAGAAGUUUUAGCCUUCAUGUGAAAUCCUGCAGAAGCAAUCCCAUUUCAUAGUCUCUUUGCAUAGUAGCUGUUGGAUAGCUUUACGCAAUAUUGUCUUUAUUUGAGCAAAUCAGAAUUGUAAAAAAACACAUUUGUUUUAGGGGGAUAAUUUUAUCUCUCACAGAAUACUAAAAAUUUUGCUCUUGGAUUUCAUUCCCUUAUUCUGAAAAUUCUUUAUUAACUUAUGUUUUACCUUUCAGCGUAUGCCUUCACUGUCUAAGCAGAAACAUAUCCUCAAAAUUCUACAGACAAUUAUGUACACAACUGCUGUAUAUUCAAUGCUGCAUACAAAGUCUACACGACGUCAGAAAUUUUAAAAUGUAGGAAUGUUUCUUGUUUUACAAAUGGAAACUCUAGAGAUAGUCUUGAACAAUCUGAAAUCUGACACCGUAUAAACAUCUCUUUAUUUUUCAGUAAGCAUUUGGACAAUUCUUUCAGGCAUAUGGUUUGAUUCUUGGGGUGUCCUGUGUAGGACCAGGAGAUGGACUCAAUGAUCCUUGUGGGUUUCUUCCAACUCAAUAUAUUCUAUGAUUCUAUGAUUUAUUUCUUAAUAACUUAUUAUUUUAAAUAUAGACCAUGAAAUUACAAUUGCUAUUUUACAUCAUCACUACAGAAGAAAAAAAUAGCUUUACCUUAUAAAACCAGGGGGGGUUGUUUGUUUGUCUACUUUCUGUUUUUAGUAUUGGUAUUUGUUAUUUGUUGAAUUCAAGAAUAAAUUAAAACAGCUUCAGAUGUCCCUCUCUG